This 253-nucleotide ribosomal RNA is filed under the name uncultured bacterium. RNAcentral's name for it is "partial 16S ribosomal RNA". It matches the Rfam family "Bacterial small subunit ribosomal RNA", at positions 524 to 776 of the family's 1533-position model. The record is from RNAcentral.
GACGUAGGGCGCGAGCGUUGUCCGGAUUUAUUGGGCGUAAAGAGCUCGUAGGCGGCUUGUUGCGUCGACCGUGAAAACCCGUGGCUUAACUGCGGGCUUGCAGUCGAUACGGGCAGACUAGAGUUCGGCAGGGGAGACUGGAAUUCCAGGUGUAGCGGUGAAAUGCGUAGAUAUCUGGAGGAAUACCGGUGGCGAAGGCGGCAUCCUGGACCAUAACUGACGCUGAGGCGCGAAAGCUAGGGGAGCAAACGGG